RNAcentral lists this long non-coding RNA (2132 nucleotides) under Ooceraea biroi (clonal raider ant). RNAcentral describes it as "uncharacterized LOC105284903". The record is from RNAcentral. Lineage: Eukaryota; Metazoa; Arthropoda; Insecta; Hymenoptera; Formicidae.
ACGGGAUACGUCGUGAUUCUGAUCGAGGAUUAUUAUCGUGACAAUAGUCGCAGGAUGCGGCGUCACGACUCACGAGUUACAGUCACUCGGCAACGGGAAGUGGCCGUGCCGACCUCGACGAAGUCGAUGAUGCGGCUGCAAAGUCAUCGUGAGAGUACCGCAAGCAUAAGCAUCUACAACGCCUAGCGUCGCGAUCCUUAUCUUUUAUUAUAUUAUAUUAUUUCCUAUUACUUUUACUCUACAGUGUUAUUAGAUUAUCUGUGUGAACACAAAUUUCUAAAAUCUUUUAAAUAAAAAGAUUCGAAGGCUCCAUUCAUCUAUUCUAAUUAGAAAGAAAUUAAAUCUAGAAUCUCAGAAAAAAUCUGAAAUGUAAAGGAGAAAGCUGUUGUAUGGCAUAGACAAACAUUUGUAUAAAAUGUCUGAAAAGAUAUUUUGAAAUAAAUCGCUUAUAAUGCCACAGCUUAUUCGUUUAAUCUUUCUUUUUGUAUGCUGAGUACUAUUCUGUGCGACAGAGAGACUGACACGACUCAGCUGCAACAGGACUAUCUGGAGUACGAAGGCAACGUCUAUUAAAAUUGCGGAGCGACGAGAGGCAACAAAGGGACGGCUGAGCAUCGUAAAAAUCCCCGAGAAGGUAGUUUCUUCGCCAGCCCGAUCAAGAUCCCGCGAAAGCUCUCGUGGCCAAUUUUACUUCAACCACUGUGGGAGUACUACAGUCGACCGAGAGAAAAAUAUUCAAACAAAAAAAAGAAACCAAUAACUACGUGCCAAACCGGCUACCAGCACACCAGAGUGCCCUCCCGAUCAUCUUCCUCAUCUCCGUAUCAUUAAAUUCAGAGCGAACCAUUCCGCUCGUUCACCCUGCUACUAGCAGUGUGCCCGGAGUUUUUAAUUAAACACCCGGGCCAAAGGGAAACGGACCACACAGGAUUUUUCGAAAAAAGGGUGCAAUCGAGAUACGUAUACGCUGCAAUUCCUUGCUGAAAAUUGGAAUGAUCUUUCCUUCACGGGGAGGUAGCGCUAGAAUUUUUCUACCGGGGUCUAAAGCCAAAUGGAAACUGGAUUAAAAUGAGUAUGCGGAUCGAUCAAAAAGUUCGGCCCCCUCUCUUUUCAAUGCAUUAAGAUAAGAGUCACGGAUGAGAGGCACGGAACUUUUGAUCAAUCUAAUAAUUAUAGUUCAAUUUUUUCAAAUUGGAUUCUUCGUUCUAGAAAAAAAAAGUAAGAAGAUGAGAAGAUCCUAUUCACCAUGCAUGGGAACUCACUUCUUUCUCACCAAAAGUUAGAAUUGAAGACUUAGGACUUUUCGUUAGGACUUGGAAAAAAUUGAGAGCAAGUGCAGCAAGGAAAAUUAUACUUCGGUGGAGCUGAAAAUUUAGUCUCGACCAUCAAAAGGCAUCAAGGUCGUCCUGUUUAACGAACGCGCCUAUCCCGUUGCACAGCCCGUAUGCACAGCAUGAGACUCGAGGAACAAUCGUGGAGGAUCGAUUUGGAUGUGGGUCGGUCCAACCCCCCGAGUGCCAAACGACGCGAAAGCAUGGCGUACAACUACCCGAGGCUCCCGUUCGAUCGAGUAGAGCCCAACUCUACGAGGAGAGGGCUAUAGGACAACGGUUACGCCAUCGUCAGCUCGUGUACGUGUGCAAACGGGGUAAUACGUGGAUAGCGAAACGGUCGAUAUCCUACGUGUAUUCGUGUACACUACGCAUGCAUCCGCCAUCCGGUAGAGCUUUUACGUAGCGAACAAUGCGCUACCGUGGACAAAGACGUAUUAACGUUAGCAUUAGAACGAAGCGUCCUGGUUCGUGCCACAUCCUUGGUAUAUUGUUAAAAGCUGUUAAGUUUUCAAGAAAGAUCAGAAGAAGGAGCAGGACCGACUCGACUUGGAAAACUAUAAUUCGGGACAAACGAGACUCGACUCAGGUUCAUCAACUUGUCUAUCGCCCGGAAGUUUCGAGUAAAGUUUCCCCCUAUAAUUUGAAAAGUGAUAACAAAAGUGGAUAAUUCAAGUGUGAAAUUCAACGUCGAAUACUGUAUUAUUUUGUAGCAAGGAAAAAUUAUACCUGCAUGGAAUUGUGAAACGAUGUGCAAUGUGAAGGAAAAACAAUAAAAAUUAUGAAAUUUGUAGAAAGAGA